UGCCUCUUAGGGAAUGGAUCAUCAGUGCCAGACAGGAUAUUGGAUAUCAUAUUGAUUACACCAGCAGUUGGUCGAUUGUGAUCAUCAGAAGUUACUUCUACUGGAGGCCUAUAUUCUUCAGAUUUAGUCGGUCUGGCAUAUUUACAGAGGUAACCCUGACGUAUCAGGAUUUCUAUCUCAUCUCACAGCUGUCUGCAUUCCUCAGUGUCGUAGCCAUAAUCUCUGUGGAAGCAGCAAUACUUUCACUUGUCCUUCUUCUUUGGUGGGGCC
This 270-nucleotide long non-coding RNA is filed under the name Elaeis guineensis (African oil palm). RNAcentral's name for it is "long non-coding RNA (EGUI_LNC018610)". Lineage: Eukaryota; Viridiplantae; Streptophyta; Magnoliopsida; Arecales; Arecaceae. The record is from RNAcentral.